This 669-nucleotide ribosomal RNA is filed under the name Vibrio sp. RNAcentral describes it as "bacterial SSU rRNA". The record is from RNAcentral. Lineage: Bacteria; Pseudomonadati; Pseudomonadota; Gammaproteobacteria; Vibrionales; Vibrionaceae.
GUCGAGCGGAAACGACACUAASAAUCCUUCGGGUGCGUUAAUGGGCGUCGAGCGGCGGACGGGUGAGUAAUGCCUAGGAAAUUGCCUUGAUGUGGGGGAUAACCAUUGGAAACGAUGGCUAAUACCGCAUAAUGCCUACGGGCCAAAGAGGGGGACCUUCGGGCCUCUCGCGUCAAGAUAUGCCUAGGUGGGAUUAGCUAGUUGGUGAGGUAAUGGCUCACCAAGGCGACGAUCCCUAGCUGGUCUGAGAGGAUGAUCAGCCACACUGGAACUGAGACACGGUCCAGACUCCUACGGGAGGCAGCAGUGGGGAAUAUUGCACAAUGGGCGAAAGCCUGAUGCAGCCAUGCCGCGUGUAUGAAGAAGGCCUUCGGGUUGUAAAGUACUUUCAGUUGUGAGGAAGGGGGUAGCGUUAAUAGCGCUGUCUCUUGACGUUAGCAACAGAAGAAGCACCGGCUAACUCCGUGCCAGCAGCCGCGGUAAUACGGAGGGUGCGAGCGUUAAUCGGAAUUACUGGGCGUAAAGCGCAUGCAGGUGGUUCAUUAAGUCAGAUGUGAAAGCCCGGGGCUCAACCUCGGAACUGCAUUUGAAACUGGUGAACUAGAGUACUGUAGAGGGGGGUAGAAUUUCAGGUGUAGCGGUGAAAUGCGUAGAGAUCUGAAGGAAUAC